AUGCAGAAAUCUCUGCAACUGCUGGGAAGACUGUUUAAAAAAAAAAAAAAAAAGGAACAUUGUGAAACGACAGAUUGCUGGGGCUCAUCCAAGCCUCCCUGCCAGGACAGCGGUGCUUGCGGCUGCUACUGCCACACGUGCCAGGUGUGGCUUCAGUGUUCAGCGGGCCCUGCGAAGGUGAUGACUGGUGCCCAGGGCAGAGGUAAGGUAUUUUAUCAUCCUAUAAAGAGCUGUUCCCAGGAGACCACCACAUGUUAUCUUAUAGAGGAAAAUUGUGCUGUCAUCCUGAGCAACCUUGACUCAUGAAUUCCACUCCUGGCCCUUCCUGUCGGAUCACAGAAAG
This 343-nucleotide long non-coding RNA is filed under the name Numida meleagris (helmeted guineafowl). RNAcentral's name for it is "lncRNA (ENSNMEG00000001331.1)". Lineage: Eukaryota; Metazoa; Chordata; Aves; Galliformes; Numididae. The record is from RNAcentral.